Molecule: ribosomal RNA, 336 nt
Filed under: Triticum aestivum (bread wheat)
Lineage: Eukaryota; Viridiplantae; Streptophyta; Magnoliopsida; Poales; Poaceae
Description: partial small subunit ribosomal RNA
Source: RNAcentral
AUGCUACAGUCAGGGCUUAUUACCCCCAGUUUAAGUCCUUUUGCUUCUCCUGUCCUACUGGUCAAGAAGAAGGAUGGCACCUGGAGGUUUUGUGUGGGCUAUAGAAGGUUGAAUGAGGUCACAAUUAAGAACAAAUUUCCACUGCCUGUAAUUGAUGAGCUGUUGGAUGAGUUAGGAGGAGCUAAAUGGUUUUCUAAGCUAGAUCUCAAGUCAGGAUAUCACCAAAUUCGUAUGGCCGAAGCAGAUGAGUUCAAAACAGCAUUUAAAACUCACAAUGGAAAGUACCAAUUCAAGGUAGUGCCCUUUGGCCUCUCCACAGCGCCAGCCACAUUUUAG